AGCAAAAUCUAUUNNCUUUYUUCCNCUGCGUAGGGCCCCCGCGUGGCGCUUGCCCCGGGGCCCUCGCGCGAGAGAGCAAUCUAAAGGAACCGUGCCAGGCACGGCCCCCAAGCAACACGGCGCGGCCUCCCUCCCCCCGCGUCUUCUCGGGCAGGAGGUCCGCCGCCGCCGCCCACCCCCCCACUCCCCCGUGCUCCCGGGGGCGGAGGGGCCACUAAAAGUGCUCAAGCGCCCAGCAAGACGACCCGUCCAAAGCUGUUACUAGGAAGGCGUCCAAGUGGAUGCCUUUGGAACAAUGCUGAA
RNAcentral lists this unclassified non-coding RNA (303 nucleotides) under Haplophyllum versicolor. RNAcentral's name for it is "sequence contains 5.8S rRNA gene, ITS2". The record is from RNAcentral. Lineage: Eukaryota; Viridiplantae; Streptophyta; Magnoliopsida; Sapindales; Rutaceae.